UAGACAUAAUGAUGAUGAUGAUGACGAUGAUAAUGAUGAUCACGACGUAUGAUCAUUAUCAUCAUCAUUGCAAUCAUCAUCUAAC
This 85-nucleotide microRNA precursor is filed under the name Bigelowiella natans CCMP2755. RNAcentral's name for it is "miRNA EPrBNAG00000013121". Lineage: Eukaryota; Cercozoa; Chlorarachniophyceae. The record is from RNAcentral.